RNAcentral lists this long non-coding RNA (237 nucleotides) under Salvia miltiorrhiza (redroot sage). RNAcentral's name for it is "long non-coding RNA (SMIL_LNC013747)". The record is from RNAcentral. Lineage: Eukaryota; Viridiplantae; Streptophyta; Magnoliopsida; Lamiales; Lamiaceae.
AAAAACUAAACGGGCGGUUAGAACCAAACAGCCACACAUCAGCCCCAACUACCGUUUCUUACGCAGAUGGCUAUGCGAAUCCAUGUCAAGACGAACCGCAGCCCUAAUCUCCUCAAUCUCGUGCGGCCACCACCCUUCCGAACGUUGUUGGUUAGCCAUUAAAUCGGCCGCCUUGUUUCCUUCUCUAAAGAUGUGAGAAACCUGCAGCGAGAAAUCAUCUAACAUCUUUAAAAUCCU